Molecule: ribosomal RNA, 195 nt
Filed under: uncultured gamma proteobacterium WkA29
Lineage: Bacteria; Pseudomonadati; Pseudomonadota; Gammaproteobacteria
Description: partial 16S ribosomal RNA
Source: RNAcentral
AUUACCGCGGCUGCUGGCACGGAGUUAGCCGGUGCUUCUUCUGCGAGUAACGUCAAUGCACAGUGCUAUUAACACUGAACCCUUCCUCCUGCNNUGAAAGUGCUUUACAACCCGAAGGCCUUCUUCACACACGCGGCAUGGCUGCAUCAGGCUUGCGCCCAUUGUGCAAUAUUCCCCACUGCUGCCUCCCGUAGG